This 3018-nucleotide long non-coding RNA is filed under the name Sus scrofa (pig). RNAcentral describes it as "lncRNA (ENSSSCG00025004303.1)". The stretch from base 351 to 415 matches the Rfam family "mir-1255 microRNA precursor family". The record is from RNAcentral. Lineage: Eukaryota; Metazoa; Chordata; Mammalia; Artiodactyla; Suidae.
ACGGAGUCUUCUUAUGAAAGAAACACGUCUCCCAAGGCUUUGGCUGCCAUAGGUAGUGAUUCCCGUGGUGACCUGGGCAAAGUCGUCUGAAAAUAUCUGGGAGAGGAUCGCCCCUCUAGCUGCCGUCAGAGCAGGUGUGACUCAUGGAAGAGGUUAAAAUAUCCACUUUAGUGGGAGUUUGGAAGAAACAGAUCCAGAUCGUCCUGGAUGACUUUGAAGGGUUCAAGACGUCAGUGGAGGAAGCAGCUGCAGAUGUGGAGCAAAUAGCAAGAGAACCAGAAAUAGAAGCCUGCAAACGUGACUGAACUGCUGCCAUCUCGUGAUAAAGCCUUAGCAGAUGAGGAGCUGCCUUUUAUGAAUGAGCAAAGGAAGUGGUUUCUUGAGAUGGAAUCAGCUCUGGUGAAGAUGCUGUGAAGAUGGUUGAAAUGACAACAACGGACUUAGACUACUCCAUAAACUGAGCUAAGCAGCGUGGGGCUUGAGAGGCUGAGUCCGACUUUGAAAGAAGUUCUAAUGUGGGGAAAACGCAAUCAGCAUUGCAUGCUACAGAGAAAUCGUGCAUGACAGGAAGAGUUAAUCGAUUUGGUAGCCUUCGUCGUGGUCUUAUUUUAAGAAAUUGCCACAGCCAGCCCAGCCUUCAGCAGCCCCCACCCUGAUCCAUCAGCAGCAUCAAUGUGCAGGCAGGACCCUCCACCAGCAAAAAGACUGUGACUCACUAAAGCCUCAGAUGAUUGUUCAACCUCUUUAGCAAGAAAAUAUUUUUUAAAAUUAAGGGUGUCAGUCCCUGCUGCAGGUGCCCGAGGCAGGUCAAGAUGGAAAGGCCAGCUCAGAUUCACCACCACCGAAGUGCCCGAAGCGACGAGAAAGUAUCGCCCACCUUGUAAAUUCGGCUUCACUCCACUUUGAUUUUGCAAAAGAUCUGCAUUAGUACCUGUUUUCACGAACCAAAAGAAAUCCGGGAGGACUUUCACUUUUACAGGAGAAGGGGAGAAGCAGAGCUGGCGUUCAGGGCUGGCUCUGCGGUUAGUCACUAUACCUAUACCGUCAGCGCCACCCCAGGCAGCCCAGUGGCCCGGGCAGUCUCCUUUCCCGGGGGCCAGCCUUGGUGUCAAGCCCCAGAGCUCCAAGCAGCGUCCGUGAGCAUCCGGUUCUCUCUUCAUCGGCGUGAUACGUCCAGGCAGUACGGCACGGCCUCAGACUGGGGAGUAAUUCUAACUCCCGUGACUUCGUCGUGCCUCGAAGUAGAAGUCUAGACAUCUGGAUUUGGACAUCUGGAUUCAUCCCUUGCUGUAUCCUCUAGGUUCUUUAAGGACACCGUCAAAGAUGGUGACCGACGCAGACCCUUGUAAAACGUCACAAGACUGGCAUACUUGUAGGUGAUAAGGACGGAGAAAUAAAACAUAGGAUCUCAGCCCGGCCUUACAGGUGCUGCCCAAAGUCACAACAUCUGGAGCGCAGCCUGGAGCUGAGACGCGGGGGCUCUGCCGUGAGCCUGCUCGGCCCGGCCCCGAGGCUGGGCGCUCUCAUCCGGACCUGCUUUGGUGCAGGAGAGCAGGAUGGCAGCGGCCGGGAGGUUUCGCAUCCAGACUGAGCCAGGGUGAAGGCCUCCGAGCAGCGGCAGUUUCUCCUUCCAGGGGGACCUUCAGCCCCUCCGUCCGCUUUCGGCAGGUGGUGUGUGCAUGGGGAGCACACGUCCCGAGGGCUUGGCUCCGGCUCUGCCAUUGACCGUCCCGUGACCCUGGGCUCUAACUUCUUGCUGAGCCUCCGUUUUCUCUCGGGCAAAAUGCAGGUGCUAAUCAUCCCCACUUCAUGGAUUGCUGGGAUCACAUCUCUGUUGUGGAAAACUUUAGGGUAAACUAAAGUGAGCUAGAGGCAGAACAUCGGGUCUGGGCCGUGUGUCUGCCGAUUGGCUAGUUUAACCUUGAGAAAAACCUCUGCCACUGCCUGCCCGUCUGUUUCCGGUCUCCAAGCCCAGAUCUUUCUCUUCGCAGGCCCCAGACACGCCCCUGGUACAUGGAGAUAUCUCAUACUGGCAAUAAUAUAACAUUUCUUUUAUUUGAUGAUGUUAUUGAAUAAUUUUUUAUUUUUAAUCUAAGCAAACACUUAAGUUUAAAAAAACUAGUAACUAUGAAUCUUAACAUAGAAAUGUUAGCCCCUGCCUGUCUUCCACCCAGUGCCGAUCCACCACUUCCACUGCUUUUAACUGGUUUAUCUGGAAAUAGCUCUACAUGUCUAAACAGCAUCCUUACUCUACAAGUCUUGAUGAUUUUUAAGUUUUAAUUGUUACCUGUUGACUUCCUAGCAUGGGAAGAAAGGAUUUAACCCUCCCCUCCCGUCAGUCACGGACACAGACACACCCCUCCGCACCCCCCACCCUCCUCUUCCAUCCGUUCUGUAUGCGGAUCGUACGUUUUGGUGGGAUAUUCGGAUGUCACACUGGGUUCACAGUUAAGUCAGAUAACAUGUGUGAUGACACGCAGCUGCACGUCUUUGCGUACACAAAUUGUUUCCCUGAAGGUAAUAAUUGCAUUGCUUUCCUGUUUGCUGAGUGUUCUCCUGGUAUCACUCGUUCGGCCCAGAAUCUUUAUAAAAGUGUCGCAUGUCCUUUCACUGCACCCGCACACGUGUGCCAUCUCUCAGCCCCUGGAGCCCAUGUCUCUGGGGGUCCCACCUCCUUGGUUCCGCGCUGGGCUGGCCGCUCUCGAGACCCACCGCGUCACCGCAUCCCCGGGCUCCCGGGCCUGGGCUCCGUUCCCGUCCUCCUGGGGAACGCGGCCCCCCCCUCGCUCUGCUGUGGCUUCUCUGCCUCCUGGAUCCCGUGGCUUCUUCCUGCUUGUUUUCCUCCUUCGCUUUGUAGAAGCACGUUGUCCAGUAAUGUCUCCAAAAGAGGAAGGAUGGCUUUUGUUUCUGGAGGGUGCACACCUGAAACGGUCUUUAUUCCACGCUUCCAUGUGGUUGAUUAUUUGAUUGGACACAGAAUUACCAAUACAGCUCAGAAACAUUUUUUCUCCCGAUUUU